AUACUUACCUGGACGGGGUUAAUGGGUGAUCAAGAAGGCUCAUGGCCUAGAUUAGUGGCCUCCAUUGCACUUAGGAGGAACGCUCGUCUACCAUCUCCCCGAGUGGGAGAGUGGACGUCAUAAUUUGUGGCAGAGGGGGUACGCGUUCGCGCGGCCCCUAC
Molecule: small nuclear RNA, 161 nt
Filed under: Oryza longistaminata (longstamen rice)
Lineage: Eukaryota; Viridiplantae; Streptophyta; Magnoliopsida; Poales; Poaceae
Description: snRNA U1
Rfam family: U1 spliceosomal RNA
About the family: U1 is a small nuclear RNA (snRNA) component of the spliceosome (involved in pre-mRNA splicing). Its 5' end forms complementary base pairs with the 5' splice junction, thus defining the 5' donor site of an intron. There are significant differences in sequence and secondary structure between metazoan and yeast U1 snRNAs, the latter being much longer (568 nucleotides as compared to 164 nucleotides in human).
Source: RNAcentral